AUUGAACGCUGGCGGAAUGCUUUACACAUGCAAGUCGAACGGUAGAGGGGGCAACCCCUUGAGAGUGGCGAACGGGUGAGUAAUAUAUCGGAACGUGCCCAGUCGUGGGGAUAACGUAGCGAAAGUUACGCUAAUACCGCAUACGAUCUAAGGAUGAGAGCGGGGGAUCGCAAGACCUCGCGCGAUUGGAGCGGCCGAUAUCAGAUUAGGUAGUUGGUGAGGUAAAGGCUCACCAAGCCAACGAUCUGUAGCUGGUCUGAGAGGACGACCAGCCACACUGGAACUGAGACACGGUCCAGACUCCUACGGGAGGCAGCAGUGGGGAAUUUUGGACAAUGGACGCAAGUCUGAUCCAGCCAUUCCGCGUGCAGGAUGAAGGCCCUCGGGUUGUAAACUGCUUUUGUACGGAACGAAAGGUUUGUCUUAAUACGAUGAGCUCAUGACGGUACCGUAAGAAUAAGCACCGGCUAACUACGUGCCAG
This 482-nucleotide ribosomal RNA is filed under the name uncultured bacterium. RNAcentral's name for it is "bacterial SSU rRNA". It matches the Rfam family "Bacterial small subunit ribosomal RNA", at positions 30 to 511 of the family's 1533-position model. The record is from RNAcentral.